This 380-nucleotide unclassified non-coding RNA is filed under the name uncultured Gammaproteobacteria bacterium. RNAcentral's name for it is "contains 16S-23S intergenic spacer region". Lineage: Bacteria; Pseudomonadati; Pseudomonadota; Gammaproteobacteria. The record is from RNAcentral.
UCGCGGCUUAUCGCCGGCAGUCUCCUUAGAGUGCUCAACUAAAUGGUAGCAACUAAGGACGGGGGUUGCGCUCGUUGCGGGACUUAACCCAACAUCUCACGACACGAGCUGACGACAGCCAUGCAGCACCUGUGUUACGGUUCCCUUUCGGGCACACCUCCAUCUCUGGAGGCUUCCGUACAUGUCAAGGGUAGGUAAGGUUUUUCGCGUUGCAUCGAAUUAAACCACAUACUCCACCGCUUGUGCGGGCCCCCGUCAAUUCCUUUGAGUUUCAGUCUUGCGACCGUACUCCCCAGGCGGCGAACUUAACGCGUUAGCUUCGAUACUGGGCUCCAAGUUGAGCCCAACAUCCAGUUCGCAUCGUUUAGGGCGUGGACUAC